CCUACGGGAGGCAGCAGUGGGGAAUUUUGGACAAUGGGCGCAAGCCUGAUCCAGCAAUGCCGCGUGAGUGAAGAAGGCCUUCGGGUUGUAAAGCUCUUUUGUCAGGGAAGAAACGGUGGGAGCUAAUAUCUCCCGCUAAUGACGGUACCUGAAGAAUAAGCACCGGCUAACUACGUGCCAGCAGCCGCGGUAAUACGUAGGGUGCAAGCGUUAAUCGGAAUUACUGGGCGCAAAGCGUGCGCAGGCGGUUUUGUAAGUCUGUCGUGAAAGCCCCGGGCUCAACCUGGGAAUUGCGAUGGAGACUGCAAGGCUUGAAUCUGGCAGAGGGGGGUAGAAUUCCACGUGUAGCAGUGAAAUGCGUAGAGAUGUGGAGGAACACCGAUGGCGAAGGCAGCCCCCUGGGUCAAGAUUGACGCUCAUGCACGAAAGCGUGGGGAGCAAACAGGAUUAGAUACCCUGGUAGUCCACGCCCUAAACGAUGUCUACUAGUUGUCGGGUUUUAAUUAACUUGGUAACGCAGCUAACGCGUGAGUAGCCGCCUGGGGNGAGUCGCGAGAGUAACUACAAGAGUAGUAGNGNGNGAGAGCGACGACGACGACGAGGAGGAGG
RNAcentral lists this ribosomal RNA (609 nucleotides) under uncultured bacterium. Its description in RNAcentral is "bacterial SSU rRNA". The stretch from base 1 to 540 matches the Rfam family "Bacterial small subunit ribosomal RNA", at positions 338 to 873 of the family's 1533-position model. The record is from RNAcentral.